AUUGAACGCUGGCGGCAUGCUUUACACAUGCAAGUCGAACGGCAGCGCGGGCUUCGGCCUGGCGGCGAGUGGCGAACGGGUGAGUAAUGCAUCGGAACGUGCCCAGUAGUGGGGGAUAGCCCGGCGAAAGCCGGAUUAAUACUGCAUACGACCUGAGGGUGAAAGCGGGGGACCGAAAGGCCUCGCGCUAUUGGAGCGGCCGAUGUCGGAUUAGCUAGUUGGUGGGGUAAAGGCUUACCAAGGCGACGAUCCGUAGCUGGUCUGAGAGGACGACCAGCCACACUGGGACUGAGACACGGCCCAGACUCCUACGGGAGGCAGCAGUGGGGAAUUUUGGACAAUGGGGGCAACCCUGAUCCAGCCAUGCCGCGUGCGGGAAGAAGGCCUUCGGGUUGUAAACCGCUUUUGUUCGGGAAGAAAUCCUCUGGGCUAAUACCCCGGGGGGAUGACGGUACCGGAAGAAUAAGCACCGGCUAACUACGUG
This 484-nucleotide ribosomal RNA is filed under the name uncultured bacterium. RNAcentral's name for it is "partial 16S ribosomal RNA". It matches the Rfam family "Bacterial small subunit ribosomal RNA", at positions 28 to 507 of the family's 1533-position model. The record is from RNAcentral.